GAUGAACGCUGGCGGCGUGCCUAAUACAUGCAAGUCGAGCGAACAGACGAGGAGCUUGCUCCCCUGACGUUAGCGGCGGACGGGUGAGUAACACGUGGAUAACCUACCUAUAAGACUGGGAUAACUUCGGGAAACCGGAGCUAAUACCGGAUAAUAUAUUGAACCGCAUGGUUCAAUAGUGAAAGACGGUUUUGCUGUCACUUAUAGAUGGAUCCGCGCCGCAUUAGCUAGUUGGUAAGGUAACGGCUUACCAAGGCGACGAUGCGUAGCCGACCGGAGAGGGGAUACGGCACACUGGGACUUAAACACCGGCCCGACCCCUACGGGAGGGAGGCGUAGGGAAAUUUGCCGAAUGGGGGGAAACCUUACCGAGCAACGGCGGGGGGGGGAAGAAGGGCCUCGGAUCGUAAAACUCUGUUAUUAGGGAAGAACAAAUGUGUAAGUAACUAUGCACGUCUUGACGGUACCUAAUCAGAAAGCCACGGCUAACUACGUG
This 496-nucleotide ribosomal RNA is filed under the name uncultured bacterium. RNAcentral's name for it is "partial 16S ribosomal RNA". It matches the Rfam family "Bacterial small subunit ribosomal RNA", at positions 28 to 507 of the family's 1533-position model. The record is from RNAcentral.